GACGAACGCUGGCGGCGUGCUUAACACAUGCAAGUCGAACGGUAAGGCUCCAGCUUGCUGGGGUACACGAGUGGCGAACGGGUGAGUAACACGUGGGUGACCUGCCCUGCACUUCGGGAUAAGCCUGGGAAACUGGGUCUAAUACCGGAUAGGACCGCACCGUGAGGGUGUGGUGGAAAGUUUUUUCGGUGUGGGAUGGGCCCGCGGCCUAUCAGCUUGUUGGUGGGGUAAUGGCCUACCAAGGCGGCGACGGGUAGCCGGCCUGAGAGGGUGGACGGCCACAUUGGGACUGAGACACGGCCCAGACUCCUACGGGAGGCAGCAGUGGGGAAUAUUGCACAAUGGGCGGAAGCCUGAUGCAGCGACGCCGCGUGGGGGAUGACGGCCUUCGGGUUGUAAACUCCUUUCACCAUCGACGAAGGGUUUCUGACGGUAGAUGGAGAAGAAGCACGGGCUAACUACGUG
This 465-nucleotide ribosomal RNA is filed under the name uncultured bacterium. Its description in RNAcentral is "partial 16S ribosomal RNA". It matches the Rfam family "Bacterial small subunit ribosomal RNA", at positions 28 to 507 of the family's 1533-position model. The record is from RNAcentral.